GAUGAACGCUGGCGGCGUGCCUAAUACAUGCAAGUCGAGCGAACAGACGAGGAGCUUGCUCCUCUGACGUUAGCGGCGGACGGGUGAGUAACACGUGGAUAACCUACCUAUAAGACUGGGAUAACUUCGGGAAACCGGAGCUAAUACCGGAUAAUAUAUUGAACCGCAUGGUUCAAUAGUGAAAGACGGUUUUGCUGUCACUUAUAGAUGGAUCCGCGCCGCAUUAGCUAGUUGGUAAGGUAACGGCUUACCAAGGCAACGAUGCGUAGCCGACCUGAGAGGGUGAUCGGCCACACUGGAACUGAGACACGGUCCAGGCUCCUACGGGAGGCAGCAGUAGGGAAUCUUCCGCAAUGGGCGAAAGCCUGACGGAGCAACGCCGCGUGGGUGAUGAAGGUCUUCGGAUCGUAAAACUCUGUUAUUAGGGAAGAACAAAUGUGUAAGUAACUAUGCACGUCUUGACGGUACCUAAUCAGAAGGCCACGGCUAACUACGUG
This 497-nucleotide ribosomal RNA is filed under the name uncultured bacterium. RNAcentral describes it as "partial 16S ribosomal RNA". It matches the Rfam family "Bacterial small subunit ribosomal RNA", at positions 28 to 507 of the family's 1533-position model. The record is from RNAcentral.